Molecule: small nucleolar RNA, 91 nt
Organism: Cornus florida
Lineage: Eukaryota; Viridiplantae; Streptophyta; Magnoliopsida; Cornales; Cornaceae
Product: small nucleolar RNA snoR114
Exons: 1
Source: RefSeq, a predicted model, not a curated record
GAGCAAUGACGAAAUAUUUGCACUCAUUGUGAAGAUUGGGUUCCUCACUUACUUCCGAUUUCAGAAGAAGAAAACCUGUGCAUCAGAGCUC